Long non-coding RNA from Hippocampus zosterae (dwarf seahorse), 783 nucleotides. RefSeq lists it as uncharacterized. The transcript is spliced from 5 exons. The record is from RefSeq and is a predicted model, not a curated record. Lineage: Eukaryota; Metazoa; Chordata; Actinopteri; Syngnathiformes; Syngnathidae.
CAGGCCGAGCUGCUGGGAGAUGGUGAUCUGCAUUUCUUUGGAUGGCCGCUUGUUCUCCUUGAAGAUGGCGAUGAGCGUGCGCCGCUGCAGGCUUGGCGUGGAUGGCAGCAGUGGGAGGGAUGGGGAUGAAAGUGGGAGGCAGAGAGGGGAAAAGAACACAAGGCAAGUUGACCCGAUGACCUCGUUCAAGUUGCUCCAACCAGUCCUUCAGUAAACCUCAAGUCGGAGUCUCAAAAAACAGCUUGAGGCAAGUACUCAGCCUACGCAUUGAAGAAUUGUUCGCUAUCUGCCAAAGUGCUCCUUGUUAUGAAGUUUGCUGACCCCAUCCAGCGCAUGAAACUCAAGACCAAGAAUUUGUACGAGCAACAGCUGGAAUCUCAAAGAAUUCUUAAGUUGAGAAGAGAUGCAAACUCCUAUUUGUGCCCUUACUACAAAUGUGCCUGUUUGGAACCCAAUUUGGCUCUCUACCCUAGUUGAUGGACUCCUGCUGUAGCCCUUCUUUCAACACUCUGAGAAUCUUGAGACUCCAAGGUGACGUUUUUUUUCGAGUUACCCUUUUCCAACGCAAAAUAAUUGUGUUCCACUCUUGUAUUGGUUUCCAAGCAUUUGCACAAUUUCUCAGAAAAGGGGCUUCAUCUUACAUGCAUGAUUGGUUCUUAUCAUUUAGUAUCGCUGGACAACACCCGAUUUGCCUCUGUACUUUACAAAAAGUACAAUGGCAUACUUCUUCCCUGCCCAAUUUGUUUUGUACCACCAGUUUGUCAAAUAAAGAUCUCUCUCUAA